UACAGAGGGUGCGAGCGUUAAUCGGAAUUACUGGGCGUAAAGCGCACGUAGGUGGCGACGUAAGUCGGGUGUGAAAGCCCCGGGCUCAACCUGGGAAUUGCACUGGAUACUGGCGGGCUAGAGUGCGGUAGAGGAUGGCGGAAUUCCCGGUGUAGCAGUGAAAUGCGUAGAGAUCGGGAGGAACAUCUGUGGCGAAGGCGGCCAUCUGGACCAGCACUGACACUGAGGCACGAAAGCGUGGGGAGCAAACCGG
This 253-nucleotide ribosomal RNA is filed under the name uncultured bacterium. Its description in RNAcentral is "partial 16S ribosomal RNA". It matches the Rfam family "Bacterial small subunit ribosomal RNA", at positions 524 to 776 of the family's 1533-position model. The record is from RNAcentral.